GCGGGAGUGGCGGAAUUGGCAGACGCACCAGACUUAGGAUCUGGCGCCCUCGGGCGUGGGGGUUCAAGUCCCUUCUCCCGCACCA
RNAcentral lists this transfer RNA (85 nucleotides) under Veillonella seminalis ACS-216-V-Col6b. RNAcentral describes it as "tRNA-Leu". It matches the Rfam family "tRNA". From Rfam's summary of the family: Transfer RNA (tRNA) molecules are approximately 80 nucleotides in length. Their secondary structure includes four short double-helical elements and three loops (D, anti-codon, and T loops). Further hydrogen bonds mediate the characteristic L-shaped molecular structure. tRNAs have two regions of fundamental functional importance: the anti-codon, which is responsible for specific mRNA codon recognition, and the 3' end, to which the tRNAs corresponding amino acid is attached (by aminoacyl-tRNA synthetases). tRNAs cope with the degeneracy of the genetic code in two manners: having more than one tRNA (with a specific anti-codon) for a particular amino acid; and 'wobble' base-pairing, i.e. permitting non-standard base-pairing at the 3rd anti-codon position. The record is from RNAcentral. Lineage: Bacteria; Bacillati; Bacillota; Negativicutes; Veillonellales; Veillonellaceae. RNAcentral also lists the same sequence under 1 other name.